Molecule: ribosomal RNA, 505 nt
Filed under: uncultured bacterium
Lineage: Bacteria
Description: partial 16S ribosomal RNA
Rfam family: Bacterial small subunit ribosomal RNA
Source: RNAcentral
GACGAACGCUGGCGGCGUGCCUAAUACAUGCAAGUAGAACGCACAGUUUAUACCGUAGCUUGCUACACCAUAGACUGUGAGUUGCGAACGGGUGAGUAACGCGUAGGUAACCUGCCUGGUAGCGGGGGAUAACUAUUGGAAACGAUAGCUAAUACCGCAUAAUAUUGAUUAUUGCAUGAUAAUUAAUUGAAAGGUGCAAUUGCACCACUACCAGAUGGACCUGCGUUGUAUUAGCUAGUAGGUGAGGUAACGGCUCACCUAGGCGACGAUACAUAGCCGGCCUGAGAGGGUGAUCGGCCACACUGGGACUGAGACACGGCCCAGACUCCUACGGGAGGCAGCAGUAGGGAAUCUUCGGCAAUGGACGAAAGUCUGACCGAGCAACGCCGCGUGAGUGAAGAAGGUUUUCGGAUCGUAAAGCUCUGUUGUAAGAGAAGAACGGGUGUGAGAGUGGAAAGUUCACACUGUGACGGUAUCUUACCAGAAAGGGACGGCUAACUACGUG